Harmonia axyridis is the source of this 377-nucleotide long non-coding RNA. RefSeq lists it as uncharacterized. The record is from RefSeq and is a predicted model, not a curated record. The transcript has 2 exons. NCBI's taxonomy places the organism in Eukaryota, Metazoa, Arthropoda, Insecta, Coleoptera, Coccinellidae.
ACCAAACAUUUUCGGAUAGUAGUAUUGAAAAAUAUUCAACAUUCGUUGAAAAAAAAAAUUUUAUCCGUUAAGACUGAUAUUAGAUAUUAUGUUAAUUUAUUUUUUGUUUGAAAAACCAACAUUUUUAUUAUUUAUCUUUGUCUGCACAACUUUUGGUCUAGUCUAAGGAUUGAAAUGAGUGCCUCAAAUCUUCGAUGGACGACUCCAUUGGUUAUGUACAUCCUAAAAUGGCUGUUUGAUUACUAUAUCAUCAAUUUUUAACAGAAUUAUAAAUGAUUGAAUGAAUUUGACCGGUAAAGGUCAAUAAUUAAUCAUGGAAAACCCAUUUAUUAGUUGCCGACGUGAAGCCAACAUACUUUAAAAUCCCAUAUAUCGCA